Molecule: long non-coding RNA, 732 nt
Organism: Cygnus atratus (black swan)
Lineage: Eukaryota; Metazoa; Chordata; Aves; Anseriformes; Anatidae
Exons: 5
Source: RefSeq, a predicted model, not a curated record
GCGCCGGGGGAGCCGCGGGCCGCAGGGCCCCUCCGCGCGUGGGGUCGCGCACGUCCGCUGCGAGCUGCGGGGGCCACCCCCAGGGGCCACGGGUUCGCGUCCCGGCUCGGCCGGGUGCCGGCGGGUUUGCGGGGGACGAGAAAUAAUGUUCUUGCAUCGUAACAAGAGAGAUUUAUGUCAGAGAAGAAAAAAAAAUGCAUUGGAACACUUGGAGAUCAGAAGAGCUUAACAAGCAGCUUUUGGGAUUGUUUUGGAUCUAGCUCCUGCUGCCUGGGAGCAUAGGAUGUCCUCGAUGACUUCUUGGGAUCUUUUCCAGCUCUAUUUUCUCUACAGAAACCAAAACACAGAUGGAAAAGCAUCAGAGUAUGUGGACCAGUUUGGUCCCUGAGGUCCUGGACCCACAGGUGUAGCCAGCCUUCCCUCUGGGAUACCUGACUUUGGGCACCCAAUGGCAGGCAGCCCCACUGAUGUCAACACUAUGACCAUAGUCACCAGUCCUGCCUGGGGAAUACCUGCGGCUCCAAUGCUGGCUGCCGUGGCGGUGAUGCUGGAGGGAAGAGGAAAGCACAGCUAUCAGCAGAGGGAAGAAAUCAGGUCAGCGGAAACUGCACCUGCAGACCUCCUGCUCCAACCGGCCGUGUUCCUCACCAGAUGAUAAUGGCCACCAGCCUCAUGAUGGCUUCGUUGAGGCAGUUAAAGAACUCCCGCAGGGCCCGUCCCUUCUGCUUCAUG